UCUAAUGGUCUUCGGUAGUAGCAUUGAAUAGAAUCAAUUUUAUCAGCGAUUUAGUUUGAUUUCGUUGUUUCUCGCUAUAAGUUCUUUAUAAAAGGUUUACGGUGUUAUUAUGAGUCACAAGAAGACUUCAAACUAUUAUUUUUGGUAGUAUAUUUUUGUUUCAUAAUGUAAUUGUCAGUACUGAAACUGUUAAUAUACUCGGAGUGUUUUUGAGCUCUGGUCAGUCACGAAAACUCAAACACACAGGCGUUGAGAGGACAUUAGUUAAACAGGCUCAAAAUCUAUCAGUUAUUGCAUCAAGGACUUUAACAAAUAAAAAUCCAACCUAAUAACACCUCAAUUUAAAGAAUCUCAAAGUAUUUAAUGCAAACCUUAUAGGUAAAGUGAAUGACUUAUCGUUUUUCCCUAAACUCCUUACAAACUACCUGAUAUUUUGUGGAAAUUUGUUUUUUUGUCAAAAAAUCAAAUCGGUUUCCGGAAUUAGUUCCGUUUAAACAAUUGUUUGACCUAAAAGUGAUGUACGUUUAUUCAGACAAUGAAGCCUUUCCGCCCGUCAGGUAUUUGACAUUCAAACAAAUGGAGAACAAUAUCUCAAAUGUUCUCUUUAAUAAUCACUUAAGUGAUAGCCCAGAUAUACCCUUAUAUUCAGGACUGCUCGAAAUCGAUGAUCUUCAAAUUAAGGACAAUUCACAUUCCUUAGAAAGUGAUAUUUUGGAAUUUCUUGAAAAUUCAAGCUCAUACUCAAUCAAAGGUGCCAUUUCGAGCAAUCUUGCUGCCAAAACAAGCUACUUAUGCACACCCUUAAUUUUUUAUAUUUGUUUAUUAUUAUUUAUUAAUAUAUUAAUGCCUAUGAAAGUCACUUUUGGUAAAAUGUUUAUGUUAUUAAAAUUUUUGAUUUUAAAAAUUUAUUCUUACACAUGUGCCAGGUGCAGAAGAAAGCAAAAUAUUAAUGAAGAUUGAAUGCAAAUAGUGCUAAAAAAAUUGGACAUUAACAUUUUAGGUAUCAAUCAAAAUGAAUUUGUUGUAAAUUCUUUAAUUUGUUUAAAGA
This is a long non-coding RNA of Eupeodes corollae, 1048 nucleotides long. RefSeq lists it as uncharacterized. The transcript has 3 exons. The record is from RefSeq and is a predicted model, not a curated record. NCBI's taxonomy places the organism in Eukaryota, Metazoa, Arthropoda, Insecta, Diptera, Syrphidae.